Molecule: non-coding RNA, 395 nt
Filed under: Opisthocomus hoazin
Lineage: Eukaryota; Metazoa; Chordata; Aves; Opisthocomiformes; Opisthocomidae
Description: Eukaryotic large subunit ribosomal RNA
Rfam family: Eukaryotic large subunit ribosomal RNA
Source: Rfam by way of RNAcentral
ACUCUAGCCUGGCACUGUGAAGAGACAUCAGAGGUGUAAAUGGGAGGCCUCGCGGCUGUAUAACUCACGCCAUGGCCCAGACGCCAGUGCAAAGCUACUGAUCAUUUUUUCCACUUCCCCAGUGAGGUGGGGGCAUGGGGGAGCCCCAAAGGGCUCUCACUUCUGAUGCGAAGUGCCUGGCAUGACCUGCCCCAGGGACAGUGUCAGGUGGAGGUAGUAGGGCAGUAGACCUGUCAAACCGUAACACGGGCGUCCUGAGGUGAGCUCACGGAGGACAGAAACCUCCUGCAGAACAGAAGAUCGAGGCUUCAUCUUGAUUUUCAGAACAAAUGUUGUCCAUGAAAGCAGGGCCUCAUGAUCCUUCUGAAUUUGGGUUUUAAGCUGGCAUCCAGGAG